Molecule: ribosomal RNA, 330 nt
Filed under: Speocera tubularis
Lineage: Eukaryota; Metazoa; Arthropoda; Arachnida; Araneae; Ochyroceratidae
Description: partial large subunit ribosomal RNA
Rfam family: Bacterial large subunit ribosomal RNA
Source: RNAcentral
AUGAAAGGAGAAACGAUUUAUUAACUGUUUCAAAUUAAUACCUAUAAAUUAUUAUUAUUAGUAAAAACACCAUUAACCCUUAGCAGGACGACAAGACCCUAAUGAACUUAACUUUUAAGUUAAGCUGGGACGGCACAAAACUAAAUCUUCCCUCCCACCAACAAUAUAAGCUCCCCCAUGAACUAAGACAAGUUACCAUAGGGAUAACAGCAUAAUAAUUUAUAACAGCCCCCAUCAAAUAAAUUGCUUAUGACCUCGAUGUUGAAUUAAUUAUCUAACUGCAGAAAAAAGCAAUAAAAGAAAGUCUGUUCGACUUAUUAUACAUUACAU